Long non-coding RNA from Olea europaea var. sylvestris, 1060 nucleotides. RefSeq lists it as uncharacterized. The record is from RefSeq and is a predicted model, not a curated record. Lineage: Eukaryota; Viridiplantae; Streptophyta; Magnoliopsida; Lamiales; Oleaceae. The transcript is spliced from 3 exons.
AUGUUUUUUGGUAUUAUGAUGUUAAAUUUCUACUGUUUAAUUAGUUGGUUAAAUUUGUGGGUUUAAUUUGCAGAUUUAGUGAAAGGAGUAUAAUUUCUUGCUUAAAUUGCUUUAUGGAUAAAUUUCCAAUUUAAUCAAGGUGGUGAUUAAGAUAUUGGAAAAGCUUAUUGAUAUUCAUAGCAGCUUGUCUUGUGUAUGAACAGAUUAUCAGAGGUCUCUAGGACCCACUCUCGUACACACAUAGGCUUUGGACCAUGUACUAGGGUGAUUAGCCUUUGGGGCAGCUCUGCGUACGUACGACCAGAUUAUCAAAUGUGAAUGAACUUGUCUUGUACAUCGAGAUUACUCUGUACAUGAGUAAUGCUAUUCAUAAGGUACCUUUUUGGUGGAAUUUUUCGGUAUAUUUACAGUUUAUCAGAUUUUAGAAUAUAGAAUUCAGUUAAUUCAGUUUUCAGAAUAAAUCUUUUAGCUUAUAGUAUUGAGUAGCAAUAAUAUUUCAUAGAUUUUCAUGGAUAUCAGAUUAAUUAUGUCAUUAUACUUUACAGUUGCUUAUCCAGAAUUAAGAACAAAGAAUUUUAUAAUGCAAUCAUGUUUAGUUUUAAAAGUGUUACCAGAUUUUAGAAAUUCUCAAAGUUUUAAUAGAGUUUGAAUUUUCAGAAUAUAUGGAUAAAAGAAAAAUAUAUUUAUUUGCAAAAUAUCUACUCACUAAGUUAUAAGAACAUACAUCUUUUCACCAUUUUCUUAUUAGAUAGUAGUUGAAUUGAGCAACUUUGGAGCCUGUUAAACCACCGAAUUGAGACACGCUUAGUAGGUUGUAUGAUAUCCUUUAUCAGAUUAUACAGCGUGUGUUCUUUUGGGGUACAUGUAACUUAAAUAAAAAAUAAUUCAUCAUGGGCUCAUUACAUAUUUGACGUAUUUGGUAUAUUUGAGGAUUGUUGGUUGUAAAGUAAGUAAAUAUUGAAUGAUCAGCAUUUUAUUUGAAUAGUUGGUAUUCUGAGGAACUGGCUUAUCCUGUUUUAUAUUAUAGGUAUUAAUUUGAGGAAAAAUUGGUUAUUGUUCA